GACGAACGCUGGCGGCGUGCCUAAAACAUGCAAGUCGAACGAGGCCUUCGGGUCUAGUGGCGAACGGCGGAGUAAUACAUGAACAACGUGCCCCUAAGUCUGGGACAAACGCAGAAAUGUUAUAAAUACCAGAUGUGGCCGGAGAAGGACAUCCUUUUCCGAUUAAAGGUUUUCGUCUUAGGGAGCGGUUCAUGGCCUAUCAGCUAGUUGGUGGGUAACGGCCUACCAAGGCGACGACGGGUAGGGGGUCUAAGAGGAUGAUCCCCCGAGUGGGACUGAGACACGGCCCACACACCUACGGGUGGCAGCAGUUGGGAAUCUUGCACAAUGGGGGAAACCCUGAUGCAGCGACGCCGCGUGGAGGAUGACGGAUCUAGGUCUGUAAACUCCUUUUUCAGGGAAAGACUUAGGACGGUACCCUGAGAAUAAGGACCGGCUAACUACGUGCCAGCAGCCGCGGUAAU
This 464-nucleotide ribosomal RNA is filed under the name uncultured bacterium. Its description in RNAcentral is "bacterial SSU rRNA". It matches the Rfam family "Bacterial small subunit ribosomal RNA", at positions 28 to 524 of the family's 1533-position model. The record is from RNAcentral.